UAUGGAGUAGUAUAUUUGUAUGGUAAUUUUUGGUUUUAUUGGUAAAAGAUAUGUUCUUUUCUCCAUAA
Molecule: transfer RNA, 68 nt
Filed under: Septifer bilocularis
Lineage: Eukaryota; Metazoa; Mollusca; Bivalvia; Mytilida; Mytilidae
Description: tRNA-Gln
Source: RNAcentral